RNAcentral lists this ribosomal RNA (440 nucleotides) under uncultured bacterium. RNAcentral's name for it is "partial 16S ribosomal RNA". It matches the Rfam family "Bacterial small subunit ribosomal RNA", at positions 338 to 795 of the family's 1533-position model. The record is from RNAcentral.
CCUACGGGAGGCAGCAGUGGGGGAUAUUGCACAAUGGGGGAAACCCUGAUGCAGCGACGCCGCGUGUGGGAAGACGGUCCUCUGGUUUGUAAACUACGGUCCCCAGGGACGAAGAUGACGGUACUUGGGGAGGAAGCUCCGGCAAACUACGUGCCAGCAGCCGCGGUAAUACGUAGGGAGCGAGCGUUGUCCGGAAUUACUGGGUGAAAAGGGAGCGUAGGCGGGACUGCAAGUUGGGUGUCAAAUCUACCGGCUCAACCGGUAGCCGCACUCAAAACUGCAGUUCUUGAGUGAAGUAGAGGCAGGCGGAAUUCCUAGUGUAGCGGUGAAAUGCGUAGAUAUUAGGAGGAACACCAGUGGCGAAGGCGACCUGCUGGGCUUUUACUGACGCUGAGGCUCGAAAGUGUGGGGAGCAAACAGGAUUAGAUACCCCUGUAGUC